Molecule: long non-coding RNA, 2906 nt
Filed under: Mus musculus (house mouse)
Lineage: Eukaryota; Metazoa; Chordata; Mammalia; Rodentia; Muridae
Description: long non-coding RNA chr8:39121069-39123975
Source: RNAcentral
AUCUUUCAUUUUAUAUAGGCUAUGUGGUCAGCAAUUCUGUGGUACUCCUAGUAGAAACUCUUGAGCAACCAAAAUGGAUUUCCAAUACCUUUAAUAUUAAAUUCCAGAAGGCAAUCUGUUUUCCCAUAUUCAUGCAACUGGAGCUGACAUCUUGGGUGUGUUGUCAGAGAAAAUACACAAGUAUAUUUUGUUACUUUUUUAUGUUCUUGAAAAAUUACUUUUUCAUUCCUUCCCUUCUUUUGUUUCUUUGGGGGGGUUAUCAUAAUAAUUUCUAUACUGACAAAGAGAGCUUGAAAUCACAUGCUAGAUAGCUGAUAUUCUUAGCUUUUGAGUCUAGAUGUCAAGUCUAAGUUGCCCUUAUGUAGGGAGGUGGUAAAUACAGGAAGGCACAGGAAAGGGAGUCAUUGGAGCACGUCACAUGAUGCCUCCAAAGAUGAAGAGAGAAAUGACAUAUACAGUGUACUGAAAAUUCUAAGAUUAGACUGUUUAUGAAGAGGGUGGGAAUGAGUGCCACCAGCAUUUUUCUAGAGUUUGACCAGCUCUUGGCUCAUUUUGCCAAGCUAUUUUUAAAGUAAAGGAAGGAACAAGCCAGGCACAAUAGUAGGAACCUGCAGUCCUAGCAAGUGGGAUGCAAACACGAGGAUCAGGAGUUCAAGGUCACCAUCUCCUCUGCAUAGUGAAGUGAUUCAAGGCUUGCUAUCCUGGCAUGUGUGAGGCCCUGCCUCAGAGAGCCAAAAGGAGGAAGGGAGAGAGGGAAGGAGCAAAGAUAUUCUGUGCUUUCUGACCUUGAAAUAAGAGAAACUGUUACUCGAGUCAAACCUAACAUUAUCUAUUUCUAUCAUUUGACGCUGACAGUGGCUUGGUUUCUGAGGUACUGUAAUCCAGAUUAGUCUUAAGCUGUCUUCUGUGUUAGCCUGAGCACUAAGCUUAUAGCCAAGUGGUCCCUACCAGGCUUUGGUUUUCCCUUGGUAUUCCAGAGGUCUUUAAACAUAAAAUACAUGCAUACAAGUGAAAAAAUAAAAAUCACAUACCUAGAAACUGAUUUAAACAGAUUUUUCUUUUCCUAGUAAAGAUUUUUAGGAAAGGAAGUAGAUGCCAGGAUACAUUUUUUUUUCCACAAUGAUUUUGGUUCUUCUUCAAGAAAAUAUUCAACUUCAUUCCUAAAUUUGUUUAACUAAAGCAGUUUCUAUUGAGGCCCCUAAGACAGUAGUUAUGCUUAUCUUUUAUCUGCACAGGUGAUAUCAACUUAUUAGAAAAGGCUUGAGUAAACUUGAAAGGAUAUUUUUUCAUGGUGAAAACAAUAUAACCAAGACACAAUGGUCUGUUCUUACAUGUCUAAUAUACAUAAGCCAGUGGACAAUAGUUUUUCCAUUUGAUCCUAUGACUAAGAGGGAAUAAAUAAUUUCAAGUUAAGAAAAUAGUGUAAUCUCAUAUGUAUUUUUAUAUUUUGCUUGGCAGACUUAAAGCUGAUGGAUUUUUAUUCUGAGUAAGCCCAGGGCUUGCUUAAACCCUGAUAGUGUAACACUGAGAGGAUGAUGUGUAUGACCUGUUUUUUUAAAUUUUGUUGCAUGUUCUUUGAAGUAGUCAGUAUACUCACUAAGUGAACAACAUUUAUAUUAUACUGCAGGGCCAGAAUUUCUGUGUCUGGGAAAUUAUGUGCAAUAGCAAAUGUAUUAGACUUUUUUAUAAAGAUAUUCAAAGUCAUUACCUUUAUAAACCUAAGGUAACUAUAUAUUUCAGGAUAAAUUACAAUUAGCUACUUUUAUUUCUCUCUUUAACCUGAGAAGAUAUGUAACCUUGUGUUAGCUUUAAUAGAAUCAUGACAAUAUUCUUUCUUUUUAUGUUUGCAAGUGCAUGCAUCAGUUAAAUAGAAAUCUUUCCACCCUGUGCAUGGUAGUUUAACCGGAUUGCAGUUGUAAUGAAGCACAUCUGUAGACGAAAGAUGCCAGGUGAGGUUUCUGGAGAAAUCUGUAGGAUUCCUAUUCCUCUUUCCUCUUUCUUUCUUUGUAGUGUGGUUUGUUUGAUUAAUUGUAAGUAACUUAAACAUGCUAUUUAAUGUUUACAAGGUAGAAGCUACUUGAGCGGUGUCUGCUUGAGUAUUUUUUGUUUAUAUUCCAGAAUGAGCUCUUUAUAUUCCAGAAUUUCUCUUAGCUCGGAGAACAGCACCUUGACUUAUCCAGUUGUGUGGCCUAAACUUGAUAUCUUCCUUUCAUUCUUUGCCCUGCUUCUCCUCUCUCCCUAUUGCUAUAGAGACAGAGACUGUAUUAAUAACUCAGUACAGCAUUCUUGUACUUAAAUUCAUGGCAGUCUACUAAGGAAGAUUCUAAUCUCUUCCUAAAGUUGAGAUGAUGGCGUUUAGUUGACUUGUUUAUGGCAAGGUACAUAGUGAGUUACAGAUUCAGAACGUUGUGUGACGCCACAGAUGCUACACAUCCAUUAUGGGCGUUGAUUACCCUAGGGCCCAAGCACAUGGGCUUUGUUGUGUUUUUGUUUGCUUGUUUUUCUUUACUUUCCCCCCUCUGGUUGUACAUACAAAUAACGUUAAAUAGAAGCUUUCCAUACAGUGACAGGAACAGUCAGUGCAUUCUGUGGUUAGAUGUUUCUUGCACACAUCUUGGAAAGCAUUGGAGGAUUCUGAGCAAGGUAAUGAUAGGAUCGCAUGUGCUUUAAACAGGAUUAACUUGACUGACAAGUUGACUGAUAGGGUAGAGGCAAAGGAAAUGAAGGCUUCUUUGCCAUAUUCUGGGCAAGAGGUGACAAUUACUUGACUGAGAGGAAAUGUUGGGCUUUAUUCCUUGGGCACCUUUGCCAGUUCCUCCUGUAAGUACUGACAAACACUGAAUUGGGGAUGACUUUAAAAGUGGAGCCCGUGGUAUUUUCUGAUGACUGGAUGCAUGGGAGAGAGG